This 393-nucleotide ribosomal RNA is filed under the name uncultured Chloroflexota bacterium. RNAcentral's name for it is "uncultured Chloroflexi bacterium partial 16S ribosomal RNA". It matches the Rfam family "Bacterial small subunit ribosomal RNA", at positions 338 to 746 of the family's 1533-position model. The record is from RNAcentral. Lineage: Bacteria; Bacillati; Chloroflexota.
CCUACGGGAGGCAGCAGCUGGGGAUCUUGCGCAAUGGGCGAAAGCCUGACGCAGCGACGCCGCGUGGGGGAAGAAGGCCUUCGGGUUGUAAACCCCUUUUGCCGGGGAAGAAGUACUGACGGUACCCGGCGAAGAAGCCACGGCUAACUACGUGCCAGCAGCCGCGGUAAUACGUAGGUGGCGAGCGUUGUCCGGAUUUACUGGGCGUAAAGAGGGUGCAGGCGGCCGGUUAAGUCCGCGGUGAAAUCUUUCGGCUCAACCGGGAGGGGCCCGCGGAUACUGGUCGGCGCGAGGGGGGCAGAGGAAGGUGGAAUUCCCGGUGUAGGGGUGAAAUGCGUAGAUAUCGGGAGGAACACCAGUGGCGAGGGCGGCCUUCGGGGCCUUCCCUGACGC